AAUUCGCCCUUUAAUUGUGGGCUAGAAUGAAAGGACAAACGAAAGAUUAACUGUCUCUAUACUAUAAAUAAAAAUUGACCUUCAGGUGAAGAGACCUGAAUAAAAAUAAAAGACAAGAAGACCCCGUAGAGCUUCGUUUUAUUUUAAGCUACCCACUUACCUAAUUUUUUAGUUAUACCACACCUUAAUCAAAACUUAGCUGGGGCGGCUAAGGAGAACACUAUCCUCCAUUUUUAACUUUUAGCUACAUAAGGCUUAUAAGCCUAAUUCUUUAAUGACCCUUUGAAGAUCAAAAGACAUAGCUACCUCGGGGAUAACAGAUUAAUCCUUCUAGAGAGCUCACAUUGACAGAAGGGAUUGACACCUCGAUGUUGGCUUAGGGUAUCCUAUAAAUAGCAGCAAUUUAUAAAGGUAGGUUUGUUCAACCUUUAAAACCCUACGUGAU
This 445-nucleotide ribosomal RNA is filed under the name Lanice sp. BluLI. RNAcentral describes it as "partial large subunit ribosomal RNA". It matches the Rfam family "Bacterial large subunit ribosomal RNA", at positions 1963 to 2604 of the family's 2925-position model. Lineage: Eukaryota; Metazoa; Annelida; Polychaeta; Terebellida; Terebellidae. The record is from RNAcentral.